This 239-nucleotide ribosomal RNA is filed under the name uncultured bacterium. RNAcentral describes it as "partial 16S ribosomal RNA". It matches the Rfam family "Bacterial small subunit ribosomal RNA", at positions 524 to 762 of the family's 1533-position model. The record is from RNAcentral.
UACGAAGGGGGCUAGCGUUGCUCGGAAUCACUGGGCGUAAAGCGCACGUAGGCGGAUCUUUAAGUCAGGGGUGAAAUCCCAAGGCUCAACCUUGGAACUGCCUUUGAUACUGGGGAUCUCGAGUCCGGAAGAGGUUGGUGGAACUGCGAGUGUAGAGGUGAAAUUCGUAGAUAUUCGCAAGAACACCAGUGGCGAAGGCGGCCAACUGGUCCGGUACUGACGCUGAGGUGCGAAAAGCG